GUAAAGGCUGUGAAUGUGUUAAGUAGUGCACUAUACUUUUUUCAGAGAGAGCGAGUCACCGGCUGAAAGCUUGCUUAAGGUAAGGUAGGAAUCGAAUUUCGCACAGGAGCUUCUUAGAGGAACAGGAAGAGAAUUUAUAUUCUUGGAAUCAGUAUUUUAAGACGGAAUACACGUUACGUAUAAUGAAGUGUUUUUGCCAGAGUAGUUAGGAUGGCAGAAGAAUCAGGGUGGUACCGCGGAAUAGUUCGUCCCUAUG
Molecule: non-coding RNA, 256 nt
Filed under: Roseburia sp.
Lineage: Bacteria; Bacillati; Bacillota; Clostridia; Lachnospirales; Lachnospiraceae
Description: T-box sequence
Rfam family: T-box leader
About the family: Uncharged tRNA acts as the effector for transcription antitermination of genes in the T-box leader family. T-boxes are found upstream of many aminoacyl-tRNA synthetase genes and some amino acid biosynthetic genes usually in Gram-positive bacteria.
Source: RNAcentral